GUAGGUGGCAAGCGUUGUCCGGAAUUAUUGGGCGUAAAGCGCGCGCAGGCGGUUCUUUAAGUCUGAUGUGAAAGCCCACGGCUCAACCGUGGAGGGUCAUUGGAAACUGGAGAACUUGAGUACAGGAGAGGAAAGCGGAAUUCCACGUGUAGCGGUGAAAUGCGUAGAGAUGUGGAGGAACACCAGUGGCGAAGGCGGCUUUCUGGUCUGUAACUGACGCUGAGGCGCGAAAGCGUGGGGAGCAAACAGGAUUAGAUACCCUGGUAGUCCACGCCGUAAACGAUGAGUGCUAAGUGUUAGGGGGUUUCCGCCCCUUAGUGCUGCAGCUAACGCAUUAAGCACUCCGCCUGGGAGUACGGCCGCAAGGCUG
Molecule: ribosomal RNA, 370 nt
Filed under: uncultured organism
Description: partial 16S ribosomal RNA
Rfam family: Bacterial small subunit ribosomal RNA
Source: RNAcentral